RNAcentral lists this ribosomal RNA (253 nucleotides) under uncultured bacterium. Its description in RNAcentral is "partial 16S ribosomal RNA". It matches the Rfam family "Bacterial small subunit ribosomal RNA", at positions 524 to 776 of the family's 1533-position model. The record is from RNAcentral.
UACGGAGGGUGCGUGCGUUGUCCGGAAUCAUUGGGCGUAAAGGGCGCGUAGGUGGCGGGACAAGCGUGCGGUGAAAGCUUGGGGCUCAACCCCGAGUCGGCCGUGCGAACUGUCUUGCUUGAGCACUGUAGAGGCAGGCGGAAUUCCGGGUGUAGCGGUGGAAUGCGUAGAGAUCCGGAAGAACACCGGUGGCGAAGGCGGCCUGCUGGGCAGUAGCUGACACUGAGGCGCGACAGCGUGGGGAGCAAACAGG